This is an RNA transcript of Xiphophorus maculatus (southern platyfish), 3159 nucleotides long. It is a transcript of the gene named lysosomal associated membrane protein family member 5, with no coding region annotated. Lineage: Eukaryota; Metazoa; Chordata; Actinopteri; Cyprinodontiformes; Poeciliidae. The record is from RefSeq and is a predicted model, not a curated record. The transcript is spliced from 2 exons.
UCGCUUUCUCUAGCCUACUAUAUAUUAGGAUCCCUGGGUCUGUCGGGACGCUUUCCCCGGAAGCAGACAAGCAGACAUGAGUUUAUUUUUUAGUUAAACCUUUUGUUUUGUUGAAGAAACAUGCUCAAAACUACUGGACAGACAGGCACAAAAAUCCUCCUGGACGCGAUGUCCAAGGAUAAAGUCCACUUGGCCAGGUUUGUUCUGGACGCGCUGGAUGGGGAAAUCGUUGACUCCACAGCGGACGGCGCACAGACGCCCCUCAUCUCUUCCGUUCUGCUGCCCGACAGCCAGACCCGAUGUAAGUUCAUAGAGCUUCUGCUGCACAGAGGGGCCAGUGUUAACCACCAAGAUGGGAACGGACGCACAGCGCUCAGCUACGCCUGCGAGAAGGGCUACCUGGACGCGGUUAAGAUCCUGGUCCAGAACGGCGCAGAUCCAGAGAUCCUGGACUCGUGGGGAAACACCCCGUUGAUAUACGCGGCUGUAGCGGAUCACACCUUAGUUGUUGAGUUUUUGGUGAGAGCCUUCAAGAGGUUAGGUCUGCGGAUAGACAGGCAGAAUAAAGCUGGCAACUCUGCAGUUGAAGUGGCAAAGUUCCUCGGUCACACAGAGUGCAUUUCUGCGCUUACCAAUAUCUCUAAGAGGAGCCGUGAGGCUGAUGAAGGCAAGUUUGAGGGAAAAGUUGAUUGUUUAGCCAGUAAACUUGAAGUCCUCAAAAUGAGUGGCCGUGCAGAAAUGUCUCACAGUUGUACCUUGCAAUCAGUGCCUCAGAUAAAGCCCAGCCGUUUGCCAGCGAUGGAGUUUGAAAGAGAAAAUAAUAAAUCCUCUUUGGGUCCACAGGAUAUGAUCUUCUUUGGAGCACGCACUCCUGUGCCCCGACCAGGGAUUUACAAUCAACCCAUUUCUAAACAAUGCACCUUCCAGGAGAAGAUGCCCUCCUCUACUCAUCACUUGCCCCCUCUCUUAAACGGCCGUGAUGCUGAAAAGUCCAUUUUCUUCUCCCCCCAGCCAAACAGAAACAUGCCGCAUCCCUGUGCGCCAUCCACUCUUGGCAUCUUACUGACUCCCAUUCUUCCCAACAAACGUGAGACUGAGAGGGGAAGGGAGAAAUCUUUCCGCGUGGGAAGAUUUAACGAGUGCUACUAUAGGAAAAGAUGCAGUCUGCCAACCAGCAUGAUUAGCCCCACACUUCCAGAGCGCACUCUGGUGCCUGUGCGUAAAUCCAGGACGGUGAGGAGGCGCAACGAGUCGAUGAGUUUCACCGAACCACCUCCGUUUGCCACAACAGCUUCUGCCUCGACUCCAACAACUUUCUCAGCAUUGACUAAUAAACUCUUCCGAAGAUUUACCUCCCCGGAGUUCAAGAAAGUCGUUGGAGAUCUGGAACAGAAUCCGUUGCCGACUUUAGGCCGCAUCCCGCGGUCAGAAACCUUCCCUCAGGAGACGAGGCAUCCGCAGGUGGACAGCACGCCCAGCAUCGACAGCAUCAGUUCCGUUAAGUGCGAGUUUGACUUUCAGUUCAGACAGACAAACUCUUAAGACUGCGCGCCAUGUGCAAAAGGGGGGGAAAGGACUGCUAUGUUACGUAAUAAUGUUUUUGCGUAACUUACGCAUCCAUAUUUAAGUGGCGGAAAAGUUUGUUUAAAAAAAUACUUUAGUAAAAAUUGGUAACUUCUUCGUGUUCUUAGUGUGUUCAAUAAAUGUAUAAUAGUGAUAGAUACUAUUAGUUAUUGAACAUCCAUCAGUCUCUAUGGAGUUUUUUCUUUUAAUUCUGCCAUAAUUGUGGUUUCAUUCAGUCUGACGUCUUUUCAUUUGAAUAACUGUAAUGCAUAACAGCGGAAAUUUGAGCGGCUGGUUGCUUGAUGAAGAUAGGAAUACAUUUAUGAUUUACAUUUAUUCAUCAAAACGUGCCGACCUCUAUUUUUUUUUUUUUUUACUGAACUCAAAAAAGUGUAAAGUCGGCAUUUGUCAGGAUCUGAUCAGUGGAUUGUCAGUCAGAGCAAAUUUAUGGAAAAUAGGUCGGUUCCGGUCUCCGAGAUGGAUUAGUGUAACUGUAGUAAAGAGCUAAAAUAAAGAUCUGAUUUGUGUUAGCAGUCAGUAAUGAUACAAUAUGGUGUGAUUUAAAAAAAAAAAAAAACUAGUCGUUUGCAUUCAUUGAAACAUCAUUUUAAGGCUUUAGUGUUUUUUUUUUUUAUGCAAGUCUAACCAUCUGGUGUCAGCCCUCACUAACACACCGAGCUUCAACCUUGAGGGAGUGGAGGUUUUCAGUGGAGGGGAGGGAGAGAGGGGGAGUUGUCGGCGUUUCCCUCUAGACAUGCAUCAUUUCAGCUGAACCUCCAGCUGCUAUCGCAGAGAUGGAGCCUACAGCACUGCAGGAGUAGCUGCCACCGCUGCCUCGCAGGAGACAAGUUUCUGACUUUCAACGAAGGAGGAUCAUUAUUUGUGGCUGAUGAUAUGUAGAGGCGGUUCGGACUUGCAGUUGUCACCGGGUUGACACCUGUCCACCUUGAAGGAGUGGGGGAGGUCGGUUCGGACAGAUGGAACUCGUCGGUGCGGGAUCUCGCAGCCAAUCUCGGGGCAUCUUUUGGUGCAUUCACGUUCAUCUGAGCGUCACUUCUUGGCGCUAAGAAGAGACAGCCCUCUUCCCUCGCUUUCUCUCCUCCCCCCCCCCCCCCCCCCCUCUCUCUCUCUUUCUUUCUCUCAGUCUCCCCUCCCUGUCCGCGUUUCUCUUUUCUUUUCGCGGGUUCAGCCCAGACUGCCCAGUCAGUCAGCCCCCCUUUUUUUUCCUCUCUCCCAGCGCCGGGGAAGCUGGUAGCAAUGGGGCGGCUCAGUUUCAGCACCAAGGAGAGCGCUGGACUUUUGCUGCUUUGUGUGUGUGGUAAGAGCGUGAGCGUGUUCGAGUGUCUGUCGGAAUGUCGUGACUACUCUCUGCGGAGCGGACACGUGCACGCGCAUGCAACAACUGCAAGUGUGCGUGCCUCAUAAGGUGCAUGUGUUCUUUCAUCUUCAUGAGUUGGCAAAUUUUUUUUUUUUUUGUCCUUCUUACUAUUGUAAAGUGCUGCAAACUGAUGUUUGAGGGCCGCUUGUGCGCAUGAGUGUGUGCCAACCAUUUGUGGCCCGGCGGACACCGGGCUCUUUUCUCCACCGGGUGUGCUU